RNAcentral lists this ribosomal RNA (494 nucleotides) under uncultured bacterium. Its description in RNAcentral is "partial 16S ribosomal RNA". It matches the Rfam family "Bacterial small subunit ribosomal RNA", at positions 28 to 507 of the family's 1533-position model. The record is from RNAcentral.
GACGAACGCUGGCGGCGUGCUUAACACAUGCAAGUCGAACGGUGAAGCGCCUUCCUUUUUGGUGGGUGUGGAUGAGUGGCGAACGGGUGAGUAACACGUGAGUAACCUGCCCCCUUCUUCUGGAUAACCGCAUGAAAGUGUGGCUAAUACGGGAUAUUCUGGGUCUGUCGCAUGAUGGGUCUGGGAAAGAUAUUGUUUCGGUGGGGGAUGGGCUCGCGGCCUAUCAGCUUGUUGGUGGGGUGAUGGCCUACCAAGGCGGUGACGGGUAGCCGGCCUGAGAGGGUGGACGGUCACACUGGGACUGAGACACGGCCCAGACUCCUACGGGAGGCAGCAGUGGGGAAUAUUGCACAAUGGGCGCAAGCCUGAUGCAGCGACGCCGCAUGAGGGAUGGAGGCCUUCGGGUUGUGAACCUCUUUCGCCAGUGAAGCAGGCCUGCCUCGUUUGUGGGUGGGUUGACGGUAGCUGGAUAAGAAGCGCCGGCUAACUACGUG